This 465-nucleotide ribosomal RNA is filed under the name uncultured Klebsiella sp. RNAcentral's name for it is "bacterial SSU rRNA". It matches the Rfam family "Bacterial small subunit ribosomal RNA", at positions 338 to 795 of the family's 1533-position model. The record is from RNAcentral. Lineage: Bacteria; Pseudomonadati; Pseudomonadota; Gammaproteobacteria; Enterobacterales; Enterobacteriaceae.
CCUACGGGAGGCAGCAGUGGGGAAUAUUGCACAAUGGGCGCAAGCCUGAUGCAGCCAUGCCGCGUGUGUGAAGAAGGCCUUCGGGUUGUAAAGCACUUUCAGCGGGGAGGAAGGCGUUAAGGUUAAUAACCUUGGCGAUUGACGUUACCCGCAGAAGAAGCACCGGCUAACUCCGUGCCAGCAGCCGCGGUAAUACGGAGGGUGCAAGCGUUAAUCGGAAUUACUGGGCGUAAAGCGCACGCAGGCGGUCUGUCAAGUCGGAUGUGAAAGCCCCGGGCUCAACCUGGGAACUGCAUUCGAAACUGGCAGGCUAGAGUCUGGUAGAGGGGGGUAGAAUUCCAGGUGUAGCGGUGAAAUGCGUAGAGAUCUGGAGGAAUACCGGUGGCGAAGGCGGCCCCCUGGACAAAGACUGACGCUCAGGUGCGAAAGCGUGGGGAGCAAACAGGAUUAGAUACCCCUGUAGUC